Molecule: long non-coding RNA, 598 nt
Organism: Lagopus leucura (white-tailed ptarmigan)
Lineage: Eukaryota; Metazoa; Chordata; Aves; Galliformes; Phasianidae
Exons: 3
Source: RefSeq, a predicted model, not a curated record
UCCGUGUUCUGUCCCUGCUGUGCACAGGGUGCAAUGGUGAGCCCAGCAGAGCCAAGCGCAGGGCAACGUGGAACACAAGCGCUCUGCUCUUCACCGCUGUUUGGGGCUGAGUUUUUUUCCACCCCUCCUUGCCAAACCGCGCGGGCUCCAAGUUGGCUCUUGUGCUGUAGAGGAGAUGGGGGAACUCAAGGGGUCAAGAGCACAAAAUGCACGCAGCUGCUCUCGGUGCCGCGCCGACGGCCCCACACUUCACUGCUUGGGCUUCUGGAGCCAGCGCUGUUCUGGGUUUCCAUACGAAAGGCAUUAAAAACAAACAGCAAAAAGCAGAACUGAUUUGUGCUUGGAGUUGGCCGCCCUCGGAUUUCACCUUUGUUUGCCACUGACAGACAGGUGCCCCAAAAUGGCCAAGAUGCCGCCUUCCCACGAAGUCUCUCCCAGUGGAAGCCGAUGGGCAGAAAUUCCCACAGAGAUGAGAAAAGCCGCAGGGCAGAACGAUGCAGAUGGGAACAAAAACCCAGGGACGGCGACUGGAACCCGAAGCUGCUGCAGAACCGCGUUCAAGGCUUUGUAAUGAGAAAUAAAGGAUCUGUUUCUGCUC